RNAcentral lists this ribosomal RNA (301 nucleotides) under uncultured bacterium. RNAcentral's name for it is "partial 16S ribosomal RNA". It matches the Rfam family "Bacterial small subunit ribosomal RNA", at positions 509 to 809 of the family's 1533-position model. The record is from RNAcentral.
CAGUCGCCACGGUAAUACGGAGGGUGCAAGCGUUAUCCGGAUUUAUUGGGUUUAAAGGGUCCGUAGGCGGACUUAUAAGUCAGUGGUGAAAGCUUGUCGCUUAACGAUAGAACUGCCAUUGAUACUGUAAGUCUUGAGUAUAUUUGAGGUAGCUGGAAUAAGUAGUGUAGCGGUGAAAUGCAUAGAUAUUACUUAGAACACCAAUUGCGAAGGCAGGUUACCAAGAUAUAACUGACGCUGAGGGACGAAAGCGUGGGUAGCGAACAGGAUUAGAUACCCCAGUAGUCCCUGUCCUUAUACA